Polypterus senegalus (gray bichir) is the source of this 279-nucleotide long non-coding RNA. RefSeq lists it as uncharacterized. The record is from RefSeq and is a predicted model, not a curated record. The transcript has 3 exons. Lineage: Eukaryota; Metazoa; Chordata; Cladistia; Polypteriformes; Polypteridae.
CACCAGUCUUCGUCUCUUCUGUAUUCCUGCUCCAAGCUCUCCAGAACACUGCACACCUAUUUCACAAGUAAAAUUGAUAUUUUUCACAUCAUUUGAUGUUAUACAGCAUUGGUCAUCAUUGGGAUCUAUUAUAACCAUUUUUCUCUCCUUUCUGCAUGAAAACAAACGAUUAAGAAUUUUUCUCAGUCGUCACUACAAACGUCAAUGGAUCGUUGGAAGGAAAGCCUGCCUAAAAUCAGCACUCAUACAGACUCAACUUCUGGUGCCAGUCUAUUCCUG